RNAcentral lists this ribosomal RNA (839 nucleotides) under uncultured bacterium. RNAcentral's name for it is "bacterial SSU rRNA". It matches the Rfam family "Bacterial small subunit ribosomal RNA", at positions 97 to 943 of the family's 1533-position model. The record is from RNAcentral.
GGCAAACGGCUGAGUAACGCGUGGGUGAUCUACCCCAGAGAGGGGAAUAACCCGCCGAAAGGCGGACUAAUUCCGCAUACCCUCCACCGUGUAAAGGCAGUGGUGGAAAGGGUUCCGGGCAACCGGCGCCGCUCUGGGAGGAACUCGCGUCCUAUCAGGUUGUUGGUGGGGUAACGGCCUACCAAAUGCCUAAGACGGGUAGCUGGUGUGAGAGCACGACCAGCCAGAGGGGGACUGAGACACGGCCCCCACUCCUACGGGAGGCAGCAGCAGGGAAUCUUGCACAAUGGGCGAAAGCCUGAUGCAGCGACGCCGCGUGAGGGACGAAGGCUUUAGGGUUGUAAACCUCUUUUCUCAGGGAAGAGCAAGGACGGUACCUGAGGAAUAAGCCACGGCUAACUACGUGCCAGCAGCCGCGGUAAUACGUAGGUGGCAAGCGUUGUCCGGAAUUAUUGGGCGUAAAGGGUCCGUAGGCUGUUUUGUAAGUCUCCUGUGAAAACUCCAGGCUCAACUUGGAGCGGUCGGGGGAUACUGCGAGACUAGAGGCUGUCAGAGGAAAGCGGAAUUCCCGGUGUAGUGGUGAAAUGCGUAGAUAUCGGGAGGAACAUCAGUGGCGAAAGCGGCUUUCUGGGACAGUUCUGACGCUGAGGGACGAAAGCGUGGGGAGCAAACCGGAUUAGAUACCCGGGUAGUCCACGCCCUAAACGAUGGAUGCUAGGUUUGUGGGGUAUCGACCCCCUGCGAGCCAAAGCUAACGCGAUAAGCAUCCCGCCUGGGGACUACGGCCGCAGGCUAAACUCAAGGAUUGACGGGGGCCCGCACAAGCAGCGGAGCGUGUG